This 21-nucleotide microRNA is filed under the name Sorghum bicolor (sorghum). Its description in RNAcentral is "sbi-miR172f". Its record names the gene sbi-miR172f. Lineage: Eukaryota; Viridiplantae; Streptophyta; Magnoliopsida; Poales; Poaceae. The record is from miRBase by way of RNAcentral.
AGAAUCCUGAUGAUGCUGCAC